Non-coding RNA from Drosophila suzukii, 442 nucleotides. NCBI's taxonomy places the organism in Eukaryota, Metazoa, Arthropoda, Insecta, Diptera, Drosophilidae. The record is from RefSeq and is a predicted model, not a curated record.
AGCGGCUCUCCUGAUCGGAUGUAAAAGUGAUUAAUAGAGCUCGGUAGACAAGUGUUCAUUUAAGUGUAAUAAAAAAGUGAAAAGUAUAGAAAAAAGAUACAAAUUUAUUUCAACAUAUUGUACCCUGAGAAAGAAGCAAUUUGAUAUAUGGGACCCAUUUAAGGAAAAGGUUUUUUGCUUUUACGAAGAGCAAAUGCAAAACAAAAAGCAACUUAAACUAUUAAAGACAGUUCAGAAAACUGUAUCACUUGAUUACAAGGACUACAUUUACAUUGUAUUGCUCACAUCUGUCAUCUUAAAUAAUUCGUGGACCGUCAUUAAAGGAACCAACAAGCGAAAGAAAUUAUCACUACUAUGACUCGCAGGAAAGUUUUGUACGCACAUGCAGGCGUACGAAUGUGGCAAAACAAAAAAAUGUGUGAUUAUAAAAAAUAUGUAUAAU